RNAcentral lists this ribosomal RNA (301 nucleotides) under uncultured bacterium. RNAcentral describes it as "partial 16S ribosomal RNA". It matches the Rfam family "Bacterial small subunit ribosomal RNA", at positions 509 to 809 of the family's 1533-position model. The record is from RNAcentral.
CAGCAGCCACGGGAAUACGAAGGGGGCUAGCGUUGCUCGGAAUGACUGGGCGUAAAGGGCGCGUAGGCGGCACACACAGUCAGGCGUGAAAUCCCUGGGCUUAACCUGGGGGCUGCGUUUGAUACAUGUGAGCUAGAGGAUGGAAGAGGCUCGUGGAAUUCCCAGUGUAGCGGUGAAAUGCGUAGAUAUUCGGAAGAACACCAGUGGCGAAGGCGGCUCACUGGACUGGUAUUGACGCUGAGGUGCGAAAGCGUGGGGAGCAAACAGGAUUAGAUACCCCAGUAGUCCCUGUCUCUUAUAA